UUCGGAGCUGGGGCCUUGCACUUCCUAGGCAAGCGCUCUACCACUGAGCUAAAUCCCCAACCCCCUGCUUCAGCUUUUGAAGGGAGCUUUUAGCGGACACACCUGCCAUGCCAAGUGUAGUUGGAACAUUGACCCCAAGGAGAAACGUCCUUCUUUCAUCCAGUAGGUUGGAGUUUCCAAACCAGACCCCGCACUCUUAGACCUAACCAGGAGGGCAGACUUGUCGGUUUGAUUUUUCCACUCGAUGUUACUUUCAGAUGGCCACGCGGCGAAUUCCCUUUGAGGUUUCCAGUCUUAUAACGCAAGUCUCAGCACACUUUGCUCUGCAACAUCUCAUCUGUAGAAAAUCCCCAAGUCUCCGAGGCGUCGUCGUUUACUCAUCAUGGCACCCUGAGAAUCCCAGCAGGCUCAGGAAUCAGCUCAAACGCGGGGAUUCGCUCUGCCGAAGCCCUUAUUAGCUAAAAGCCUGGAUCCUCAUAUGAGCAGGCGACAGUGAAGAGGGGAGAGGAGAAACCGGACGUGAAGGCUUUACGAUGGAGAUAGAGGUCCCAUAAGCUCAGCAAGCCAGUCAACAGAUGUGCCUGUUAAUCGGAAGGAUGUCAGCUAUAAAGACACACUCAGCUCUGGUGCGUGGUGCACACACCUGUGCGCCCAGUACUCAGGAGGCAAGGAAACACUGGAUUAUUGUA
RNAcentral lists this small RNA (689 nucleotides) under Rattus norvegicus (Norway rat). RNAcentral's name for it is "uncharacterized LOC103691422". The record is from RNAcentral. Lineage: Eukaryota; Metazoa; Chordata; Mammalia; Rodentia; Muridae.